This 277-nucleotide ribosomal RNA is filed under the name uncultured bacterium. RNAcentral's name for it is "partial 16S ribosomal RNA". It matches the Rfam family "Bacterial small subunit ribosomal RNA", at positions 333 to 607 of the family's 1533-position model. The record is from RNAcentral.
GCAGGCCUACGGGAGGCAGCAGUGAGGAAUAUUGGUCAAUGGGCGGGAGCCUGAACCAGCCAAGCCGCGUGAAGGAAGAAGGCGCCAGGCGUCGUAACCUUCUUUUGUCGGGGAACAAAGGGCGCCACGCGUGGCGUUGUGAGUGUACCCGAAGAAAAAGCAUCGGCUAACUCCGUGCCAGCAGCCGCGGUAAUACGGAGGCUGCGAGCGUUAUCCGGAUUUAUUGGGAUUAAAGGGUGCGUAGGCGGCCCGGAAAGUCAGCGGUAAAAGCCCGGGG